RNAcentral lists this transfer RNA (71 nucleotides) under Marmota monax (woodchuck). RNAcentral's name for it is "tRNA.Val". It matches the Rfam family "tRNA". From Rfam's summary of the family: Transfer RNA (tRNA) molecules are approximately 80 nucleotides in length. Their secondary structure includes four short double-helical elements and three loops (D, anti-codon, and T loops). The record is from RNAcentral. Lineage: Eukaryota; Metazoa; Chordata; Mammalia; Rodentia; Sciuridae.
GGGACUGUAGCUCAGUGGUAGAGCACUUGCCUCACACGUAGGAGGCACUGGUUUCAAUCCUCAGCAUCACA